Gigantopelta aegis is the source of this 1365-nucleotide long non-coding RNA. RefSeq lists it as uncharacterized. Lineage: Eukaryota; Metazoa; Mollusca; Gastropoda; Neomphalida; Peltospiridae. The transcript is spliced from 5 exons. The record is from RefSeq and is a predicted model, not a curated record.
AAGUAGGUUUGAUAUUUUACAUUCCUCUCUCCCAACAGACGACCUCUAUUACGACUAUUAACUACUCAGUCAAGUCAAGCCAUCUCUUCUGUUGCUAGGAUGAGUGUGACCAUUAGUUAUGUUUUUCGAAAAGAAAAAGAAAAAAGGAAAGCAGGAAAAAACAAGCAAAAAAACCCACACCUUCAAAUAUUUGUAUUUUUAACGAUAUUUGUUUUAAUGUUAAUUUUAUAACAUAAUUAUUAAUUAAAUCCGUAAAUUUAAACUGUGCAUGCACUACAAGAAACAAUAUUCUGGUUAUUAAUUAUAAUAUAUAAAACACUCGCGAAUAGUUUGACUGGUACCAUAGUAUUCUAUCAUAUCACAUUUAUUUAAAGUUAAAGAGUAAAACCCAGUCUGAACAAGCCUCUCAAUAUGACGUCAUAAACGCUCAUGACGUUCACUUAGCAACGUGUUUACUUUACAAAGCACGUUUGUUAAAUCUGCUACUUAGUCCCGUAUUAUUUUGUUUCAUAUAGUUGUGGAACACUAAUUAUGCAGGUUUUGUUUUUGGAUUUAAUCUAUUCUUGCAGAUUUUACAAAAGGUUUUCCGACGGGAUUAAGAGGAAAAGAAUCCACAAAUUUGACGAUGCUUGGUACCUUGAAUUUAGCAAUCUGAAAAAGUAAAUAGCAACCCGUAAGAUAUGACAUGAUAACUCAAUAAUACGUGACGUGUCUCGUUGCCGUAGUGGUUAAGCCAUAGGAAAUGAGGCUGAAGGAAGGGCCGAUAUCUUGGUCGGACGAUUGUUUCUGUAGGAUGAUUGCCUAUGUAUAAUGUGUACUUUGAAAUACUGUAAGUGUCCUUCCUGACGUCGCAUCCCCCCUCGAGCAACAUCCUGUAUUCGGCCCUUCCUUGGAUUUGAAGAUCUAGAUCAUACUUGUUGAGAGGUAAUUCCAGUGUAUACCUCACAGUGAUCGUGAACAAUUCCCACAGUUGUCGCCCUUUGCUCGACGGAAUCACCAAUCAUCGACUGGAAUGAAAUUGGCGCAGUCUCGGUGGCUCCGUACGAAAAACAGAAGAAGAUAUAUUGUGAAGUGAAAUGAAGUUUGAUCUACCACAAAGGAAGGAAGGGAACUCUGUUUACGUGCCCAUAUCCCGAAGGUUCAGGCACGCCCACCCCGGACUUAGCCCCUGACUUCGCCAGUGGCCAAAUCCAGGGCGGAUCUAUCACAAACACUGGGACCAUCAGAAACACAUUGUGAUAUACAAACACUCAUUUUUUUUUAAAAGAAUAUGAAAUAAUAUGUAAUAUCAGUCGUUAGAAAGGUUCAGUUUUUGUGGUAAAGUUUUAACCAAAAAAGACACAUAAAACAAAAAUCAAAUCAAAA